Molecule: ribosomal RNA, 253 nt
Filed under: uncultured bacterium
Lineage: Bacteria
Description: partial 16S ribosomal RNA
Rfam family: Bacterial small subunit ribosomal RNA
Source: RNAcentral
UACGUAGGGAGCAAGCGUUGUCCGGAAUCAUUGGGCGUAAAGCGCGCGUAGGUGGCCCCGUAAGUCCGCUGUGAAAGUCAAAGGCUCAACCUUUGAAAGCCGGUGGAUACUGUGGGACUAGAGUACGGAAGAGGCGAGUGGGAUUCCUGGUGUAGCGGUGGAAUGCGCAGAUAUCAGGAGGAACACCAAUAGCGAAGGCAGCUCGCUGGGACGUUACUGACACUGAGGCGCGAAAGCGUGGGGAGCGAACAGG